GCAAACUUGGUCAUUUAGAGGAAGUAAAAGUCGUAACAAAGUCUCCGUUGGUGAACCAGCGGAGGGAUCAUUACCGAGUUUACAACUCCCAAACCCUUUGUGAACAUACCUAUCGUUGCUUCGGCGGGACCGCCCCGGCUCAGCCCGGAACCAGGCGCCCGCCGGAGGCCCACGAAACUCUUGUAUUCAUUGAGUCUUCUCUGAGUGGCGAAAGCAAAACAAAUAAAUCAAAACUUUUAACAACGGAUCUCUUGGCUCUGGCAUCGAUGAAGAACGCAGC
RNAcentral lists this unclassified non-coding RNA (280 nucleotides) under uncultured fungus. RNAcentral describes it as "partial contains small subunit ribosomal RNA, internal transcribed spacer 1, and 5.8S ribosomal RNA". The stretch from base 1 to 73 matches the Rfam family "Eukaryotic small subunit ribosomal RNA", at positions 1759 to 1831 of the family's 1831-position model. Lineage: Eukaryota; Fungi. The record is from RNAcentral.